Molecule: ribosomal RNA, 253 nt
Filed under: uncultured bacterium
Lineage: Bacteria
Description: partial 16S ribosomal RNA
Rfam family: Bacterial small subunit ribosomal RNA
Source: RNAcentral
UACGGAGGGUGCAAGCGUUAUCCGGAUUCACUGGGUUUAAAGGGUGCGUAGGUGGGCAGGUAAGUCAGUGGUGAAAUCUCUGGGCUUAACUCAGAAACUGCCAUUGAUACUAUCUGUCUUGAAUACCGUGGGGGUCAGCGGAAUAUGUCAUGUAGCGGUGAAAUGCUUAGAUAUGACAUAGAACACCAAUUGCGAAGGCAGCUGGCUACACGAAUAUUGACACUGAUGCACGAAAGCGUGGGGAUCAAACAGG